UCCCACCUCACCUACUUUUCCCCCAAACUGCUGCCGAAACCCCAGCCAAGGCCCCGGAGCACAGGCCCUGAACCUCGGGAAUGGGACCGGGAUCGGGAAUGGGGCCGGGGUCCCGGGACAAGAGGGCUGCCCCUCCUUGAGUCUCUGCCUCUCGGCGACACCUAAAUCACGGUCGUGAGGCCCGGCGGCCCGGGUGGAAAACCCGCCGUCUGCAGCGAUAGAAGCGGAUCUGGGAAGAAGCUGUCGGACGGGAAAGCAGACAGAGCGAGAGUCGGAUCAAAAUUGCGAUUUGUAAUUGUUAUAAUAAACCAAGCGCAGUGAUAAAAGAAAAAAAAAAAAAGGCAAAAGAAAAACCCACCCCGGAAAGCGGGAGCAAGAAAAGAAGUCAUUUGAAAGCAAAGAUAUCCCAAACCAGGCGGAAUGAUGCAAGGCGUGCGCCCACAUCACAUCGGCCUCGUUACAAUUUUAUUUUUCAAUAAUUCUGUCCGAUAAAAUUUCAUUGUCCAUUAAGUAAUCCCCGAAAUGAGAGCUCUUAUGAGCCUAUAAUGAGCUCUAAUUGCUACGACUGGGAGAGCCACGUGGAAGGAUUUAGAAGGUAUUAAGCAGUUGGGUACAGAGCACAGGCUGUUACCUAGCCAUUACUUUCAUAAUUCAAGGAGAAAAUUAGUCCUUUUAAGGGAAAAUCCUUUGAUUCCCUUCAUUCUGCUCGGGGUGACAGAGUAUAGCUUUGUCUGCCUUUAGUUCAAGACAGUGUAACAAAUGAGAAUGUAACGAAAUUGCCCCCUUUUCAAAGUGGAGCGCUUCAAAAAGAACAGCAGAGCCGCUCCCCCGGGCUGCGGAGCGCAGGACUGGGUGCUGGUUCCUCUUUUCUUCCAGAUGUCUCGAACACCUUUAUGUAGGGGAGAUUCACGGCUUAAACGACAAAAGCAACGCUUUCCUUUCCUUUCCCUCCCCCCCCCAGUCUUUGCUCGGCUCCCGGCCGCCCGGCGAAGCUCCCAGGCGCGCAUCUCCGCCCCGAUGCGGGCAGGAUGCGGCCCCGCCGAAAGGAACGCACCUCGGGGAAGCGCUCCCAGGCGGAAAAAAAGAAUAAAUAUAAAUAAAAAGAAAAAAAGAAGAAAGGGAAAGGGAAAGGGAAAAAAGAAAAGAAAAAAAAAAAACUUCGCAGGGCGGCCGCGAUUUUGCCAGCAUCCCGCGGGGGCCGUGCGGUGGCUCCGGGCAGGAUGCUCCGAGGAGACCCACGCGUGGGUAGCCCAGGGGCUAAGGGCUCUCUUGCUCUUUCUUCGCUAACCUACCAUCGAUUUCGGAUUAGUUUCCAAAGCAAUCGGCGGUGUUGGAGCCGGGUUUUGUGAAGGGAGCGCAGGCAAAAGACAGGACUUGCCCCCAGCUCCCGUUAAUGAGGUCAUUAUAAAAGCGUGAACAAGUCUAUUAAUGUUUUAUUGAAAGCGCAUCGUUAACUUGUAUCCAUCCUUUUCUGAAAGUGGCAUUGUGAUAUUGCUGUCUGUGGCACAUCUUACCCAAUAUAGCCCGAGAUUUCUCCAUUAUCUGUAACCAAGCAACACUUUCUGAAUACCAAAAAUUGAAAAGAACCGCUUAGUCUUCAAGAAAGUCCUCAAUAAUAGUGGAAAAGAACAAAGAUCCAGGAGACAACAAAAUGCCACAGGGGUGACUUUUCAUGAGCAAUUAUCUCUCAUUAAUCAGCAGAACAGCUGCAAUAUUAAUUUCCUCUCUUUCUUCCUCUCUUUUCACAGUCCCCACCAUUUGAAUAAUCAUAAAUUUUGAUUUCAUGGAGCACCAACAUCGCCGGCGACUCCGGGACACAAGCUACCUACGCGGGGCGGGCGCUUUGCAAAACAGCUUCUAUUUUUAAGGCUGCCAAAGGGAUAAAAAAAAAAAAAAAAAA
This is a non-coding RNA of Anas platyrhynchos (mallard), 1900 nucleotides long. The record is from RefSeq and is a predicted model, not a curated record. NCBI's taxonomy places the organism in Eukaryota, Metazoa, Chordata, Aves, Anseriformes, Anatidae.